AGAGUUUGAUCCUGGCUCAGACUGAACGCUGGCGGUAGGCUUAACACAUGCAAGUCGAGCGGAAACGAAGAAUAGCUUGCUAUUCUGGCGUCGAGCGGCGGACGGGUGAGUAAUGCUUGGGAAUCUGCCUAGUCGAGGGGGACAACAGUUGGAAACGACUGCUAAUACCGCAUACGACCUACGGGUGAAAGGGGGCCUCUUCUUGAAAGCUCUCGCGACUAGAUGAGCCCAAGUGGGAUUAGCUUGUUGGUGAGGUAAGAGCUCACCAAGGCGACGAUCCCUAGCUGGUCUGAGAGGAUGAUCAGCCACACUGGAACUGAGACACGGUCCAGACUCCUACGGGAGGCAGCAGUGGGGAAUAUUGCACAAUGGGCGAAAGCCUGAUGCAGCCAUACCGCGUGUAUGAAGAAGGCCUUCGGGUUGUAAAGUACUUUCAGCGAGGAGGAAAGGUGGUAAAUUAAUACUUUAUCACUGUGACGUACUCGCAGAAGAAGCACCGCUAACU
RNAcentral lists this ribosomal RNA (505 nucleotides) under uncultured bacterium. RNAcentral describes it as "bacterial SSU rRNA". It matches the Rfam family "Bacterial small subunit ribosomal RNA", at positions 8 to 502 of the family's 1533-position model. The record is from RNAcentral.